CAGAGGGUGCGAGCGUUGUUCGGAAUCACUGGGCGUAAAGCGCGCGCAGGCGGGCGUGUAAGUCAGAAGUGAAAUUCCGGGGCUCAACCCCGGAGCUGCUUCUGAUACUGCAGGUCUGGAGACCGGUAGAGGCUGGUGGAAUUCCCGGUGUAGCGGUGGAAUGCGUAGAGAUCGGGAAGAACACCCGUGGCGAAGGCGGCCAGCUGGGCCGGUUCUGACGCUGAGGCGCGAAAGCGUGGGGAGCAAACAGGAUUAGAUACCCUGGUAGUCCACGCUGUAAACGAUGGGCACUAGGUGCCGGGGGGAGCGACCCCUUCGGUGCCGCAGCUAACGCGUUAAGUGCCCCGCCCGGGGAGUACGGCCGCAAGGCUG
Molecule: ribosomal RNA, 372 nt
Filed under: uncultured organism
Description: bacterial SSU rRNA
Rfam family: Bacterial small subunit ribosomal RNA
Source: RNAcentral